Long non-coding RNA from Passer domesticus (house sparrow), 2760 nucleotides. RefSeq lists it as uncharacterized. Lineage: Eukaryota; Metazoa; Chordata; Aves; Passeriformes; Passeridae. The transcript has 4 exons. The record is from RefSeq and is a predicted model, not a curated record.
GGAUCACCACUAUUCACAUUCUGGAUAGUGAAGGAAGGGGAUGAAAUAAUGCUCCUGCUAUGAAAACAGUGUGCCACACUGCUUGUGUAGGCCAUGAGUCAUGGUUUCCUUGAUGGUCACUGGGGGAAGGGAUUCAUAAUGAAUGGCAGCACUGCCCCUCCCACCAUCUCUUGUUGUGACUAAGAACAUGGCAUUGCUCAUCCAGAGACGCAGGUGACAAGAGUGAGGAGAGUUUGCGCAUGUUAUUGUGUGCAAUGGUACGUACACCAAUGGGCAGAAUGGCAGAGGAGCUUUGUAUGACAUAUUUCUCUAUGAGUAGAUAAAGCCAGUGAGCUGUGAAGCUACAUAACCUUUUGCUGGUAGCUGUUUUGAUGAAUGCUAAUACUUUCACGGAUAAUAUUCUGUAUGGUUUGGAGAGAUGAUUUGUGAGUGCAUUUUGGAAAGCACAGUGACGCACCUUGCUCUCUUUGUGAGGCACGCUCUCACUUUGUGAAGGAUCUAAGUCAUAGGGAAUUCUUGUCAGUUAUAUUCCUGGUUCAGAAUUUUGUGGGAAGAAGACCCAGCACAGUUGUGCAGGGAACAAAGGUCAGACAGAUGGGAAGUGAAUGCUGCAGAAGCAUGUGAGUGCGGAGCAAAGCUAUCUCUUCAGGCUGCUGACCUCCUACAGUCUGGGCUGCAGCAGCAGAAGGCAGUGGCAAGCUAAGGAGGGAUGCCCCCAGCCUCAGCAAUAAUCAGCUUUCAAUGAGAAAGCUUUGAUGGUCUACACGAGUCUGGCACUGUUGAGCAUGGCAGGAGUCACUAUACACAAAAGCACGAACCAAACUGCUCCCUAGGGAUGUACAAUAGUAUUGACCCUGUGGGAGAAUGCUGUGCUGAAAGCCCAAGAAAGCCUUUUAAGCAUGGGAUGCUGGGUCGGCUCUAGGACCUGGAAAUCAAUCUUCUCUACAGUGAUGCUUCCCACCAGCCCUGAAGAACAACAGCUGCCUCAAAAAGAAGAAGACACUUGGCAGCAGGCAGCAGAAGCUGAUGCAGGAAAGCCAGGACAGGAAACAGUACUGAGACUUUCAAAUUGGUGCAUCCCACCAACAUAGGUUCAAUUCAUCCCCACUGUUGUUACACUCCAGGACUAAAAUGAACAGAAAAAGAAAGCUAUGGUUCUGUGACUUACUUUUAUCCUUGGAUAAGACAGUGGUUACACUUCAUCAGCAUGGGAAACAGAAGUGGUGUGUUUUAAAAUUGUAAGGCCUAUCUCGGAAAGAGAUGACCUUGCACAUUUGUUCUGGGGAUAUCCUACAUCUGCAUUGCUCCGUCCUCUUUGUCUUUGUGUUAAUUUUUCUAUUUUAUUGUCUAAAUGGAAAAAGAUAAAUAUGGCAAUUUGGCUAAGAUUUCCAGGCUUCUGGCCUGGUUAAUAUAACAUGGAUAAAUAGCCAUAUGCAGGCCUUCCCUUUUAUUGCACAGAUGGUAUGUGCUUGCACAAUAACUCAAUUGUAUCUCAGAUACCUCUCAGUGUGUCAGAUUCAGUGUGGUGUGUCACACUGUGCAUGCUCACACACUCCUGACUGUGAAAUACUAGAUAGAAAUACAGCAACCUCAAUAACUUCCUACGUGUGAGAAUUUUGCAUAAACAAAGCACAUGUUUUUGUAGUGAGGCAAAGGACAGAAUGUCUCUCCAUAAAUAUGGUAAUUUUGUGCGCUCUGCAGUGCAUCCAAAACCAUUAUAAGCAGUAUGGCAGGCCAUACUCCUGUCUCACUUCUUGUGUUAGUGUGACUCGUGGUGAUAAAGGAAUUAAAGAUAGGACCAAUGCAAAGAUUGUUACACAAAGGAAGUAACUGCUUUGUGCAGGACGUGUAAUGUGCCUGAUGUAAGAUUAGUAUGCACUCACUCUCCUUUCUGAGGUUCACGACUAGGAAAUAUUAUUUUGUGUUUCACUGACAAAAUCUUUUGCUGAUAACUCUGUUCCCUAAGACUGUAGGAUAAGUCAAGUUGGAAGUAGCCUCAUGUCUCUUGUCCUACCUCCUUCUCAGGGAGGCUACCUGUAAUUAAGACCAAGGUUACUUUGGAGUUUAUCCAGUUAGGUCUUGAAAAAAGCUCCAAGGAUGGGGACUGCUCUGUCUCUCUGCUAAGCAGUUUUUCUGUCUGACACAUGGAAAUGUUUUUCCUUAUAUUCACCCUGAACAUAUCUUGUCUCAGUUUAUGCCCAUUGUCUGUCAUCCUCUCACCAUGCACUCAGUGAAGAUCCUGGAGCCACCUCCUUGUGGCUUUGAUGCAUCUAACUAGGAGGGUGCUAGUUAGAUGCAUCAAAAGCUGUUUCUUCUCCAGGCUGAACCAUCAUAAUUUCCUCUACUCUCUCGCUACCAGACAAGUGCUCCAAAGCCUAGAACAUCUUGGUAGCUCUUUAUUGACUAUGCUCCUACAUGAUAGUGGAUUUCUUGCAUUGGGGACUCCAAAUCUAUACACAGUAUUUUAGAUGUUGUUUAACAAAUACUGAGUAAAGGGAGAUUAUCACUUUCCUGGCUGUGCUUCUGCUGAAACAGCCCGGGAUGCUGUUGGCUUUCCCUACAGCCAGACAGAUUACUGGCUAAUCCUGACUGGCCCCAUGAUUUCCAGGUCCUUCCCAGCCUAUAUAAUUGCCAGGGUUAUUCUUUCUCAGGUUCAGGACUUCCCUUUUUCCCUUGCUAAAUUUCACAAAGUUAUGGUUCACCUGCUCCUCCAGCCUAGCUAAGUCAGUCUGUUUGGCAGCCCUGCCCUGAAGUGCAUCA